Molecule: non-coding RNA, 3088 nt
Organism: Vicugna pacos (alpaca)
Lineage: Eukaryota; Metazoa; Chordata; Mammalia; Artiodactyla; Camelidae
Source: RefSeq, a predicted model, not a curated record
CCCCCAUGGCCUCUCAGUCUCUGGCCGGGUCCCUGGGCUACGCUCCCACCCUCACCCACCACGAGCCCUCCCUGUGACCUCGUCUUUACAGUCUGGGAAACAUGCCGACCACAAAGGGCAUGGAUUUCUUUACUUACUGGCCCCUUCCCGGGCGCAGAAUCAGCAGAGACAAGUGGUCCCUGCCGUCAUAGAGCUGGCAUCCUGGUGGGCAGAGACAGGCAGCAAACAAACGCUUACAUACACAAAGAAGAUAAUUUCAGAGAGUAAUAAGUGCUAGGAAGAAAACUAGCAGGUGAAGUGAGGAAUAGGGGCUACUUAGCUGGGUGUGAGAGGAGGAGGCCCAGUGAGUGUGGAACUGACUGCCAGGAAGGAACCUGCCACGUAGAGCUGGGAAGACCCUUCCUGGCCAAGGGAAGAGCAAGUGCAAAGGCCCUGAGGCAAGAGAAAGCUUGAUGCCUAACCAGCAACUGGUGGAGCAGUGGACAUGCUGAGGGCAGAGCCAUGUGGGGGCCAAGGUCUUCAGGGCUCCAGAGCCUGGUGGGAAUCUGAAUGCAAUUCCAGGGCCAUUGGCAGAGCUUAAGCAGAGGAAUAGUGAAUGAAUGAGUGAAUGAACCUGCUGUGAACUUACAGACUCACUAAUAACUGCCACCCCAAGGCUUCCACUCUGCACAGCUCAGGCAGAACGCCUCCCAUUCCCACCCAGCCUCUGUUGGGGUCUGUUGGUCCUAUGAGUGCAGGAGGGGUGUCAAGGUGUCAGAGCUCCCAGGUGACCUGGACUGGGGGCAAGUUCCCCUACAGAACCUCUGCUUCCUCCUCUGUAAGGUAAGGCAGUGCAGGGGACACGGUGCCCUUGCUCUGCGACAGGACUGUACCCCUCCACACAUUGUCCAUUUGACCUGACAGCCCCUCUGUGAGGCAGACGGUCACAUUUUGUUCAUGAGGAAACAGGCACAGAGUGGUGGUCAUCUGUCCAGGGUCUCAGGCUAACAUGAUAGAGCCCUGCACCCAGAGCCCUUCCCACCAGCUCAGCCACCCACCACCCAGGGUGAUGUUAAGGGCCAGACAAAAGCGGGGUCAGAGGGUGAGCGGCAUUGUUUCAAGCUAGUUUUAAGCACAGCUUCUCGGAGAGACAGACCUGGUUUCUAAGUCCGGCUCCUCUGUGCCCAGCUGGGUGGCUUUGGAAAAACCAGUUCACUUGCUAAGCUUCAGUCCCGUCUGUAAAAUGGGAGUAAUCAUAGCAGCUCCUUCCUGGGGUCUCCGGGAGGGCUGAAUGAGGAAAGGCGUGUGGAGCAUUUAGCCCAGAGCCAGAGGCUGUGAAUACUGUUGGUGCUUCAGGUCACAGGCCAGACGAGUGGGGACGGUCCCUUUCACACAUCUGAGGCCUUCUAGCCCCUGCCGUGUCCAGUGUCUGGGGAGGGCCUAGGCAAGACCUGCACCAGGCACCUCAGCGGCUGCGAGAAGAGGGGCUUCCCUGGGGGAGGAUACUAACAACUGCCUUUUGGGAGCAGCCGGUGUGCGUGUAUGGGAGUCCUAGGGCAGCCGUGACAAGUGACCACAGAUUCAGUGGCUUACAGCAGCGCGGAUUUGUUCUGUACAGUUCUGGUGGUCGGAUGUCCCAAACCAGCGUCAACGGGCUGAGGUCAAGGUGUCGGCAGGGCUGCACCUCUGAAGGCUCCCGGGGAGAGUCCUGCCUGUUCCAGCUUCUGGAGGCCACCUGCAUUUCGUACCUUGUGACCCCUUGGCGACCUCUGGAAGCCAGAAAAGGCAAAGAAAUAAUGGCUUCUGUUGUCACAUCCUCUGCUCCCUCCCUUACCUUCUUGCCUCCUCUUACAGGUCCCUGUGAUUCCUUCAGGGCCCCUGGAAUCCAGGAGACUCUCCCAUCUCAAGAGCCUUAAUUUCAUCACACCUGCAAGACUCUCCGCCCCCUCCUUUGUUUUUUUUUUUUGCCACAUAAAGGAGCAUUGAUGGGUUCUAGAGAUGAGGACCCGGAUAUCUUUGUGAGCCAUUGUUCAGCAGCACACUCCAUGCCUUCUCUUAACUCUCCCUCAUCAUCACUCAUUUUACAGAUGAAAGAAUCUAGGCUCAGAGAGAAACCUCUGACCGUCCUUCCUGGGCCCUUGGAGGACUAACUCCUUCCUCACAGUCUGCACCAUGUACCCUGUGCUCUUCAGGCCGCUAAGUCUGGGGACGUUCAGUCACUUUGUGAAACGCCACGUUGUCCUUCACGCUGGGGGUUCUCGUUCCUGAGGCGGGCUGACGCAGCCGGACAGGGCCUCGACAUGUCCACCACCGUGUGCGGGACCCAGGGGUUCUCCGACAUCCCUCCCAGCAACUUCGAGAAAUUCUACGACUUUGGCAAGAUGUGAAGAAGGCCUUUGUCACCGACUUGCAUAAGUGAACCUGAUAGAAAUUCCAACGCUAAACUGGGUGGGAAGGUUGCAGCGGGAGCUAAGUUUGUAAAUGGCCAGGACAGUAGCAAAUGUGGUCGUGUUUUUACAGCUUUUACUGCCAACACGGAUAACCAGUGUGCGGCUGCUGGGGCCCCGUUGUCAGAAUUAGCUGGAUCAGCCCAGGACUGGUUGCAUCAGAGUUAUGUUAGGGAAGGGCAGAUUUCCACUCGUCUCAGCCAUUGUGUGUCUCCGUUACAGAGCCUUUGUUCCACCUCAGACACUUUGGCUUUUGGUGGUAAUAACACCUUGAUUUUCCUGGGGAGGGGGGCUGUUCCUUCCCACUUUCAGCCCAUGUGGUUCAGCCUCCACCAACACUACCUCUGGGUUGCAGAGAUGCUCGUGUGAUUCUGGUUUUAUCAAUCAAAGUGCCCCAUUUACCUGGCCACAGUGAUGGACCCAAGGAUGGCCACAUGAUCCAAGCCCUCUGGCAGUUUUGCUAGAAGCCUUGAGCAUUGCUGGAACCUCCAGGGGGUGCUAAGCUGGUUAGUUGUGGACCUGAGAAUAAAGUCAGUCUUAUAGGAAAGCAGUGCGGAACCACACACAGAGACACCAGCUGGGCACCUGGAUCCAGCUAUGCCUGAAGCUCAGACACUCUGGACUUUCAAUUACACACAAGCCAAUAAAUUGACCUGUUUGCA